RNAcentral lists this ribosomal RNA (804 nucleotides) under uncultured bacterium. RNAcentral's name for it is "bacterial SSU rRNA". It matches the Rfam family "Bacterial small subunit ribosomal RNA", at positions 62 to 876 of the family's 1533-position model. The record is from RNAcentral.
UCGAGCGAGGUUAGAGAGCUUGCUCUCGAAGCCUAGCGGCGAACGGUCGCGUAACACGUAAGCAACCUGCCCUGAAGUUGGGGAUAGCCCUCCGAAAGGAGGAUUAAUACCGGAUGUGGAUACUUUAUCGCAUGAUUUAGUAUCUAAAGCAGUAAUGCGCUUCAGGAUGGGCUUGCGGCCUAUCAGCUAGUUGGUGAGGUAAUGGCCCACCAAGGCGACGACGGGUAGCUGGUCUGAGAGGAUGGUCAGCCGGACUGGGACUGAGAUACGGCCCAGACUCCUACGGGGGGCAGCAAUUAGGAAUCUUGCGCAAUGGGCGAAAGCCUGACGCAGCGACGUCGCGUGACCGAUGAAGUCUUUCGGGAUGUAAAGGUCUUUUCUGGGGGAAGAAGGAUGUGACGGUACCCCAGGAAUAAGCCCCGGCUAACUACGUGCCAGCAGCCGCGGUAAUACGUAGGGGGCGAGCGUUGUCCGAAUUCACUGGGCGUAAAGCGCGCGUAGGCGGAUAUUUAAGUUGUGGGUGAAAUCCCGAGGCUCAACCUCGGAACUGCCUGCAAAACUGGAUAUCUUGAGGUAUGAAGAGGGAAGUGGAAUUCCAGGUGUAGCGGUGAAAUGCGUAGAUAUCUGGAGGAACACCCGUGGCGAAGGCGGCUUCCUGGUCAUAUCCUGACGCUGAGGUGCGAAAGCCAGGGGAGCGAACGGGAUUAGAUACCCCGGUAGUCCUGGCCGUAAACGAUGGAUACUAGGUGUUAGAGGUAUCGACCCCUCUAGUGCCGCAGCUAACGCAUUAAGUAUCCCGCCUGG